AUCAGCAUGGUCCCUGCACAAGGAUGACAUGCAAAUUUGUGAAGUGUCCCAUAUUUUA
This 58-nucleotide small nuclear RNA is filed under the name Myotis brandtii (Brandt's bat). Lineage: Eukaryota; Metazoa; Chordata; Mammalia; Chiroptera; Vespertilionidae. The record is from RNAcentral.